GCCGGCUUAGCUCAGUUGGUAGAGCAACCGCCUUGUAAGCGGUAGGUCGCGAGUUCAAGUCUCGCAGCCGGCACCA
Molecule: transfer RNA, 76 nt
Filed under: Nitrospirillum amazonense
Lineage: Bacteria; Pseudomonadati; Pseudomonadota; Alphaproteobacteria; Rhodospirillales; Azospirillaceae
Also listed under: 6 other names
Description: tRNA-Thr
Rfam family: tRNA
About the family: Transfer RNA (tRNA) molecules are approximately 80 nucleotides in length. Their secondary structure includes four short double-helical elements and three loops (D, anti-codon, and T loops).
Source: RNAcentral